CAACUUUUGUAUGAAGCAAUCUUGGCUGAAUGCGAUGGCUCCCAGUGCAGGGAGGGCUCGGCUCAGCGCUGCUGCGGAAUGGAAGACUGCCGCUCGCCUGCCCUUCUGUCUCUCGUCUCGGCAUGGUGACAUGGUUUGAGAGUCUUACCUGGCUCUCUUCAGCUAAACAGUCUUCAGGACCCUAAAGAUGCAGAGGGAAGGAUUAUGAAGAACGGCUGUGCAAUGGUGAGUAUUCAGGCACCCAAUCCAUUAUCCUGUCAACAACAGCAGGUCCCUGCCACAGUUAGCAGCAACACUGGCCGUAAUGAAAUCAUCAGUAAUCCCAAAACUCAUCUUAUCAUACCCAAGGUACAAGUUCUUAUCUUUUCUCGGACUGUAUGAUACCAUGACAAAACAGUUAAACAACAGGCUGUGGACACCAGUGGAAGACACAGGCUGUAGUCUUCAACAGUGAAUUACCUGUAGUACAUUUGCCUGCAGGUAAUGGAAUAUGACUUACCUUUAAUGGUGAAGAAACUCAAAGAAAUGGAUAUAUGGAUUAUCAGUGAGAAAACUGAUUUCAUUUUUACACUGUCAAAUGCUGAAACCAUUUCAUUUCAGCUCUACUUUUCAGUUCCUGUAUCAAAUUUGCUGGGAAAUUAAAAACAGGAAUCUUUAAAAACAAGAAUCUCAUGUUUAUAAUCGUAUUGAAAUGUGAACUGCGGGAAGAUUUUUAUUUAUUUAUUUUUUAUUUUUUUGACAAACACGAUAAUUUGAUUGAUUUAGAUGGCUAACUGGAAAUUAAUUCGUCUAACGUAUUUGAGUAUAGUGGCUUUGAGUCCCACUUUUUAUUAAAUCGAUAUUAGGUAAUUGUCUUCUGCAAGUGAUUGAGUAAAAGAGCUUAAGCGCGGUUUACAAACUUGCUGAGAAUGAACAUUGUCUUGUAAUAUUAAUCUAUUUAAAGCCGGUUUAUCAUUACAUCUUUUAUGAUUUAUAUAGUUUGUUUCGAUUGCAAAAAUGUUAAGAAUUAACUUUUUAUUUUUAUUUUAACGGAUUUUUCUUUUAAUAAAUCCGUUAUAAGGAAAAUGUGUAAUUUGACACCGACAAGUAGCACGUUUUCUUUCUUUCUUCACGUAUUAGUAACUCAAAAUACCUAAAAUAAAUUAAAUAAGUUAGGUGAAAAUAGCGUUGCCCUUUUUAAAUAGGCUAAAUCAGUUUUAGCACAGAUGGUUUAAUUUUAAAGAGCGAACUCAUAUGCUUCAAAUUAAAAACAGGAUAUCAUUCCAAUAGUUCGCAGUGACAUCUGAAAGAAGGUCAAACUCAAGCCUCUUUCUUUAAUUGACCAGUGAAUAUUUUUUUACCAGUGUCAGAACCAGAGGGGAUGCAACCAUUCAGCAAAAUACAAUAGGAAUAACAGACCGUGCUGAAAAUGCAUCUUCAUUUGCAUAUUCGGUUCAAAAAUCAUGCAAAUCCCAAUGAGACGGUCUUUAUUGUGCCUGCAAUGGAUAAUCAUUCUGUUAUCCAUGGUAACUCUGGCCUUAUUCGUAGCCAGUGAGUUGAAACAAAAAGUUAUUAAUUCAUAUGGCAAGACGUGUAAAUGGACUCCGGAGCCAUGGUUAAUGGUUCGGCGAAAUAUACCUAUUUGAUCUCAUUAAAAAGGUCUUGUACCACCAUGAUGGCACAGUUACUGGUCCACCCCACUUCUAUAUUUAAAUGGAUUGAGCUCAACAAAACAGGGACACUGAGCCCCCCUCUUACCGGGAUCAUCUGUCUGCCUGGUGGACGAGCUGCGUCCUGCCCACUGCACCCAAUUCACAUAGAAAUUUACUCAAAUACUACAGAUCCGCUCAUUAAAAGCCAAGAGCAAAGGUAGCGUGCGGCAGCCAUUGUGGCCGAUCGGAACCCGAAGCACCCUCCAAUAAGCAGGAGAGCAGCAUCGUAGGCACUGCAGCACCCCACUUCAAACCUACCAAAACCCCAUUUUCAGGCCCCACAGCUGCCCUGGCUCUGCAAGAGCACUUAGCCAUGUCAUUCUAUCUGCCUCUCCGGACCAGAGGACACAGGCGUAGUUUUGUGUGCCGCUGUCUCUGAUAUGACUCCAGAAAUGGAAAUGAGGCCAUGGAUCUUCAUUAGAAGAAGCAGGUGUCCUCUGGCCUGCCCAGGUGAAGACGCUGGGAGGAAUGGGCAAGGGGGGAAGGGGCUCAUCACGAUGGCUGGCAGCCCUCGUUUUGGCCCCUUAUCCUCAUCCCCCUCCCCCCACGACACUUAAUUGCCCGUGUAAUGAGCUACUGUUGAAUGGGCUUACUUGUGUGGAGGUACUUGAGGAGCUAUGCAUUAGGGGUACCUCCUGCAGCUCCUAAUCUCAGAGCCCAUAUACAGAGAGCGCCGCGAAUGAAACGCCAGAGAGAAAGACACUCACCUCUCCUCUGCAUCAUUCUUGUUUGCAUUCGCCCCCACCUCCGUCCCCUCUGCUUUGUUUCCAGGUUCAUGCUGGUGAAAUUAACAGGGCUUUGAAACCUGUGGAAGCGAGGCAGCCAUAAAGGCCCUUCAAGGCAUAUGAGGAUCCUGGAGAGUGAGAAGUUUUCUUGUGACAGGACACCUGUUUCUG
Long non-coding RNA from Cyprinus carpio carpio, 2587 nucleotides. The record is from Ensembl. Lineage: Eukaryota; Metazoa; Chordata; Actinopteri; Cypriniformes; Cyprinidae.